GUUUCAGUGACCACAAAAAAUGGUCACUAGUUAUGUAUAAUUUUAUUCAUAGCGCCUAACUCUAAAAAGGGAUCAAUGUAUACUUACUUUUAACCGGAAAAAGAUACGGUCAAAAUAACCUUAAAAAAUCACCAACAUAUAGUUACUUUUAACGGCAAUACAUGUCAUCAAACCACAAGGGUAAAAAUGUAACUUACCUUAAAAUACAAGUGGCAAUACAACAUACAAGACACGCUCACACGCAGACCAUUUUUCACGUAUAAACGGAUGCAAACCAAUCUCUCCCAUCGUUUCACCGUUGUUCUCAUCCACCAUCUGCAAGCCCUAAACCUUCCCCAAUCUCCAGUUCGUCAUCGCCAAAUCCAAUUUCUACUACCUAGGGUUUUUGUAUCUGCUGAGAUUUUCAAGGAUGUUCGGCGACCAACAUUUGUCUAUACCCAAGUCAUCACGUUAUCAACAAAGUCCGAGAAGAAUUCAUCAAAAAUCGUCGUCCUGGCGAAAGCCUUACUUCUUACUUACGACAAUGUUUGUCCCCACGCCCCCUUCCUCCGACUGGCGUCGCCAGCUCCUUCCCUACAUCCUCCAGUAUCUCUUUCUCUCUCUAUCUCAAUCGUUUUCCCCUUGUGAUUUCAUCGAUUGGAUGAGAUUUUGAAAGAAGGUUACAUGGAUAGUUGAAUGUAUGUUCUUAUGAUCAGCAUCUUAGGGACACAGUUCAUCUUCUCCCCCGUUCAAUAGAAUGUGCACAACAGUUGUUCGAUGAAAUGCUUACAUGAAUUGGGAGUGAAGUUUGAGUAUAUCUAUCUCCAUCUGUUCAUAAUUGAAAUUGCAGAAUACUGACUCUUUGAAAAAAGAUUAAAUUUAAAAAGCUCGUGUUUGAAUCUUUUUAUGGGGUCUGGGAAGUCGUUCACUUUGUGCCAGCUGGAAGCUUGGUUAGCUGAGUAUAAGGUUAGGAGAGGUGCCACGCGCACUGUUGAGGUGGAGGAAAUUGAUGAUAAUGAUGACAGUUGUGGGAUUUGUGGUGAUGGUGGUGAGUUGAUUUGCUGUGAUAAUUGCCCCUCAACUUCUCAUCUAACAUGCUUAUGUGUACAGGAGCUACCUGAAGGCAAUGCUCUUGUUGGAUUUGUGGGAAUGUGGUCAAUGAUAACGAGCCUUCAAGUUUGGAUGGCCUGAAAUGUUUGCAAUGCGAACAUAAAUACCAUGAGGAAUGUCAUGGAGAAACCGGAAUAGAAAGAGACUUGACGUGGUUCUGUGGGGAAAGCUGAAAGGAGGUUUAUUUCGGGCUUCAUUCCCGGAUUGGAAUUAUGAAUUCCAUUUCCGAUGGUUUCUCGUGGACCAUUCUGAAAUGCAUACAUGGCGACCAAAAGAUUCAUUCCGGAUUGGUUGCUUUGAAAGCUGAAUGCAAGUUGAAACUGGCAGAUGCACUUACAAUUAUGGAGGAGUGUUUUCUUCCCAUGGUGGAUCCAAGAACAGACAUUGAUAUGAUCCCACAUGUUUUAUACAAUUGGGGAUCAGAAUUUGCACGUCUGAACUAUGAGGGGUUCUAUACAGUGAUCUUGGAGAAAAAUGACGUAAUACUUUGUGUAGCAUCAUUAAGGUAUACAAAUUGGUGAUAUUUUCUAGCAUUGAAUAGUAAAUGGCCAUUUUGCCCUUUGACCUUUUUAACCCUAUGUUUGAAAUUUGUGUUCAUGAUUCAUGGGGUAAAUGUUACGGAGAUGCCUUUAAUUGCAACAUGCAGCAAAUAUCGGUGUCAGGGAAUGUGUAGGCGUCUCAUGAAUGCUAUUGAAGAGAUGCUCAAGUCAUUCAAGGUUGAGAAGCUGGUGGUAUCUGCGAUCCCCAGUGUGGUUGACACGUGGAGGGAUGGAUUUGGAUUCACAGCCUUGGAAUCCCAUGAAAAAAAAGAGCCUCACAAAAAAUAGUUCUUUUCCUACAGGUUGGUUUUUUGUUAAAUAAAAGAUGUUCAAGCAUUAUGGAGGGUGUUAUGCCUGAGUUUCAAAGAGGGGUUAAAAGUUUUCAAAUUGAUGUUGACCAAAAUGCUAGUGAUGAAGGAGAAAAGAUUUCACUGCUACUAGAAAAAGCUGCAUAACCACCAUUUCAUGUGCAAAAGACAAGAAUGCCCUUCUUAUUAAACAUAAAACCUAAAUGAUGUCAUUUGGUAGGCAAGUAGGCACUUAGAGAUGCAAAAGUCAAUUAAAAUGGCCUUAGAGAAAGCUAGUCACAAGGCCUCCCCACAAUCUAUAUCACAUUCUUUUGUAACUAUUAUUUGUGUACAGUUUAUAAAAUGAGUAAGGCAGUUAGAAUUGGAAUA
This is a long non-coding RNA of Lactuca sativa (garden lettuce), 2305 nucleotides long. RefSeq lists it as uncharacterized. The record is from RefSeq and is a predicted model, not a curated record. Lineage: Eukaryota; Viridiplantae; Streptophyta; Magnoliopsida; Asterales; Asteraceae.